RNAcentral lists this transfer RNA (73 nucleotides) under Calditrichota bacterium. Its description in RNAcentral is "Calditrichaeota bacterium tRNA-Gly". It matches the Rfam family "tRNA". Rfam says of the family: Transfer RNA (tRNA) molecules are approximately 80 nucleotides in length. Their secondary structure includes four short double-helical elements and three loops (D, anti-codon, and T loops). Lineage: Bacteria; Pseudomonadati; Calditrichota. The record is from RNAcentral.
GCGGCUGUGACGCAAUUGGUAGCGUACCAGCUUCCCAAGCUGGAGGUUGCGGGUCCGAGUCCCGUCAGCCGCU